CCUACGGGUGGCAGCAGUGAGGAAUAUUGGUCAAUGGACGAGAGUCUGAACCAGCCAAGUAGCGUGAAGGAUGACUGCCCUAUGGGUUGUAAACUUCUUUUAUAUGGGAAUAAAACGUUCCACGUGUGGGAUUUUGUAUGUACCAUAUGAAUAAGGAUCGGCUAACUCCGUGCCAGCAGCCGCGGUAAUACGGAGGAACCGAGCGUUAUCCGGAUUUAUUGGGUUUAAAGGGAGCGUAGGUGGAUUGUUAAGUCAGUUGUGAAAGUUUGCGGCUCAACCGUAAAAUUGCAGUUGAAACUGGCAGUCUUGAGUACAGUAGAGGUGGGCGGAAUUCGUGGUGUAGCGGUGAAAUGCUUAGAUAUCACGAAGAACUCCGAUUGCGAAGGCAGUUCACUGGACUGCAACUGACACUGAGGCUCGAAAGUGUGGGUAUCAAACAGGAUUAGAUACCCCAGUAGUC
RNAcentral lists this ribosomal RNA (460 nucleotides) under uncultured bacterium. RNAcentral's name for it is "partial 16S ribosomal RNA". It matches the Rfam family "Bacterial small subunit ribosomal RNA", at positions 338 to 795 of the family's 1533-position model. The record is from RNAcentral.